RNAcentral lists this ribosomal RNA (495 nucleotides) under uncultured bacterium. RNAcentral's name for it is "partial 16S ribosomal RNA". It matches the Rfam family "Bacterial small subunit ribosomal RNA", at positions 28 to 507 of the family's 1533-position model. The record is from RNAcentral.
GACGAACGCUGGCGGCGUGCCUAAUACAUGCAAGUAGAACGCUGAAGGAGGAGCUUGCUCUUCUGGAUGAGUUGCGAACGGGUGAGUAACGCGUAGGUAACCUGCCUGGUAGCGGGGGAUAACUAUUGGAAACGAUAGCUAAUACCGCAUAAGAGUAGAUGUUGCAUGACAUUUGCUUAAAAGGUGCAAUUGCAUCACUACCAGAUGGACCUGCGUUGUAUUAGCUAGUUGGUGGGGUAACGGCUCACCGAGGCGACGAUACAUAGCCGACCUGAGAGGGGGAUCGGCCACACUGGGACUGAGACACGGCCCAGACUCCUACGGGAGGCAGCAGUAGGGAAUCUUCGGCAAUGGACGGAAGUCUGACCGAGCAACGCCGCGUGAGUGAAGAAGGUUUUCGGAUCGUAAAGCUCUGUUGUAAGAGAAGAACGAGUGUGAGAGUGGAAAGUUCACACUGUGACGGUAUCUUACCAGAAAGGGACGGCUAACUACGUG